RNAcentral lists this ribosomal RNA (403 nucleotides) under bacterium. Its description in RNAcentral is "partial 16S ribosomal RNA". It matches the Rfam family "Bacterial small subunit ribosomal RNA", at positions 355 to 776 of the family's 1533-position model. RNAcentral also lists the same sequence under 2 other names. The record is from RNAcentral.
UGGGGAAUAUUGCACAAUGGAGGGAACUCUGAUGCAGCGACGCCGCGUGAACGAAGAAGGCUUUCGAGUCGUAAAGUUCUUUUAUAUGGGAAGAUAAUGACGGUACCAUGAGAAAAAGCCCCGGCUAACUACGUGCCAGCAGCCGCGGUAAUACGUAGGGGGCUAGCGUUGUCCGGAAUCACUGGGCGUAAAGGGUUCGCAGGCGGAAAUGCAAGUCAGGUGUAAAAGGCAGUAGCUUAACUACUGUAAGCAUUUGAAACUGCAUAUCUUGAGAAGAGUAGAGGUAAGUGGAAUUUUUAGUGUAGCGGUGAAAUGCGUAGAUAUUAAAAAGAAUACCGGUGGCGAAGGCGACUUACUGGGCUCAUUCUGACGCUGAGGAACGAAAGCGUGGGUAGCAAACAGG